UUCUUCUGAUUGUUUUGCUAA
RNAcentral lists this non-coding RNA (21 nucleotides) under Caenorhabditis elegans. Lineage: Eukaryota; Metazoa; Nematoda; Chromadorea; Rhabditida; Rhabditidae. The record is from RNAcentral.